CGGUCACGUGGGCGCCGCGCGCUCGGCCAGGCCCCGUUUCGUCCCGCCGGUGGAAGAGAGGGUGGGACCCUGGUUCAGCACUUUGGGCUCAGAAGGCUUCUAGAAGAGGACAUCUACUCAAAAACUCAUUCUCACCUAGAAGACAACCUGGGAAAUAUUUGAUUAUGAAAGAGAGGCAUCAAACCACCACCAGAGAGCAAGAGAAGAAAGGAAUGGAGAAGAACUGCAAAACAACCAUAAAACAAAUAACAAAACGGCAAUGAGUACGUACCUAUCAGUGAUUACUUUGAUUGCAAACGGAUUAAUUACUCCAAUCAAAAGACAUAGGGUGACUGAAUGGAUAACAAAAGCCCAUCUAUAUGAUAUCUAUCAGACUCCUUUCUAAUCUAAAAGCACAGAUUGAAAGAGAUGGAAAAGAAUGUAUGAUGCAGAUGGAAGUGAAAAGAACACUAGGGUAGCAAUACUUAGACAAAAUAGACUUUAAAACAAAGACUGUAACAGGAGACAAAGGAGGACAUGAUAUAAUAAGAGGGACAAUCCAACAAGAAGAUAUAACAAUUGUAAAUAUUUAUGCGCCCAACAUGGAAGUACCUGCUGGAAGCCACUUCUGAACUGUACCUUAUGAAGGACAUUAUAGCAAUUUCUUCUUUUGUGUUUAUGGGAGCAAAUAUUACAUUUCCUGAGAAAGCUGUUCUUCCCCUCAAGAAAACAGG
This is a long non-coding RNA of Suricata suricatta (meerkat), 713 nucleotides long. RefSeq lists it as uncharacterized. The record is from RefSeq and is a predicted model, not a curated record. The transcript is spliced from 3 exons. NCBI's taxonomy places the organism in Eukaryota, Metazoa, Chordata, Mammalia, Carnivora, Herpestidae.